GUAAAAAGUGUAACAUGCAGUUGUUCAUUCAAACUAAUCACUGUCAUUGAAAACAGGAUAAAAUUAUUGAUUUGAUUGUGUAACUCAUUCUUUAUGCAUUUUGAGACACCAAAACUGAACUAAAUAUACGUCCAAUAGACACAAACAAAAGUUUUAGAUUUCUCUCAAACAAUUUUUUUUUAUUCAUGACCUGCAGGUAAUAUUUUUAGUUUGAGUCGAAUUUGAAUUUGAAUUUGCACGUUGCACAGUCGGAGCACAUUCAGGUCCCAGUCUCAGAACGUGAGAGCUCUCUUUCGGUCGUUUACAUCCUUGGAGGAUUUUGUCGAAACAUAAACAAACACGUGGUCGCUCUCUUCAGUUCCCUGGCUGUAGCCUAUCUUCAUCCAACCUGAACAUAAUAUCUUGCAUCUACACUCUCUCAUUCUCCUCCCCUCUCCAGCCUUUCUCCUCUUCUCUCCACCAUCUCCUCCCCUCUCAUCUGCUCCUUUCUCCUCCUUUCCAUUCUCCUCCUCACCUCCUCUCUCCUCCCCUCAUGUUAAAUAUGUUACGGUUCAUAUGUUAAAGAUGAAUAAAUACAUUUAAAGUUA
Gadus macrocephalus (Pacific cod) is the source of this 587-nucleotide long non-coding RNA. RefSeq lists it as uncharacterized. Lineage: Eukaryota; Metazoa; Chordata; Actinopteri; Gadiformes; Gadidae. The transcript is spliced from 2 exons. The record is from RefSeq and is a predicted model, not a curated record.